GCUGGGCAUGGUGGCGCACGCCUGUAAUCCCAGCUACUCGGGAGGCUGAGGCAGGAGAAUCACUUGAACCUAGGAGGCAGAAGUUGCAGUGAGCUGAGAUCGCACCACUGCACUUCAGCCUGGGGGACAGAGUGAGACUCUGUCUCCA
Molecule: non-coding RNA, 148 nt
Filed under: Nomascus leucogenys (northern white-cheeked gibbon)
Lineage: Eukaryota; Metazoa; Chordata; Mammalia; Primates; Hylobatidae
Source: Rfam by way of RNAcentral